AGUUUGAUCAUGGCUCAGAUUGAACGCUGGCGGCAUGCUUUACACAUGCAAGUCGAGCGGCAGCGCGGGGGCAACCCUGGCGGCGAGCGGCGGACGGGUGAGUAAUGCAUCGGAACGUAUCCCGUAGUGGGGGACAACCCAGCGAAAGCUGGGCUAAUACCGCAUAUGCUCUACGGAGGAAAGCGGGGGACUUCGCAAGGAGCCUCGCGCUAUGGGAGCGGCCGAUGUCCGAUUAGCUAGUUGGUGGGGUAAAGGCUUACCAAGGCGACGAUCGGUAGCUGGUCUGAGAGGAUGAUCAGCCACACUGGGACUGAGACACGGCCCAGACUCCUACGGGAGGCAGCAGUGGGGAAUUUUGGACAAUGGGGGCAACCCUGAUCCAGCCAUGCCGCGUGCGGGAAGAAGGCCUUCGGGUUGUAAACCGCUUUUGGUCGGGAAGAAAAGGUUACCUCUAACAGAGGUGACUAUUGACGGUACCGGCAGAAUAAGCACCGGCUAACUACGUGCCAGCAGCCGCGGUAAUACGUAGGGUGCGAGCGUUAAUCGGAAUUACUGGGCGUAAAGCGUGCGCAGGCGGUAAGUUAAGUCUGAUGUGAAAGCCCCGGG
This 606-nucleotide ribosomal RNA is filed under the name uncultured bacterium. RNAcentral's name for it is "bacterial SSU rRNA". It matches the Rfam family "Bacterial small subunit ribosomal RNA", at positions 10 to 607 of the family's 1533-position model. The record is from RNAcentral.